GUGAAGACGGAUGGAGCGCGAUGGAGAGCCGGGUGAGCGAUGAGCUCAUUAGGGAGGGUCUCUCAUCUUGACCCUUUCCAGGUCAGGUGGGGACAGCCCGGAGUUUUGAGAGGUGGAUGAACACUGGUCUGGCUGUGACAGGUGCUCCAUCUGGGGCUGCUGGGGAAGGGGCAAGGCUGCCCUCCCCAAGGGGACCAUCUCAUCGUGACCCCCCCACGUGCUAACUUCUCUGAGCCCAGUUUCCUGAUGAGGCAUGGGGGCCACAGGACACAGGCCUGGAAGCAGUGAGAAGCAGUUUCAAGAGGGAGUGCAUCCAGGUGCAGAGAUCUGGGACCGAGAUCUCUUUCUUUGCCUCCCCCACUUCACCUGGGUACCCCUGUGAUGGUUACUAUUGAGUGUCAACUUGACUGGAUUGAAGGAUGCAAAGUAUUGUUCCUGGGUGUGUCUGUGAGGGUGUUGCCAAAGGAGAUUAACCUUUGAGUCAGUGGACUGGGAAAGGCAGACCCACCCCCAGUCUGGGUGGGCACAAUCUAAUCAGCUGCCAGAGUGGCCAGAAUAAAAGCAGGUAGAAGAACGUGGAAAUUCUAGACUGGUUUAGUCUUCCAGCCUACAUCUUUCUCCCGUACUGGAUGCUUCCUGCCCGCGAACAUCAGACUCCAAGUUCUUCAGCUUUGGGACUCUUGGACCUUCGACCACAGACUGAAGGCUGCACUGUUGGCUUCCCUACUUUUGGGGUUUUGGGAUUCGGACUGGCUUUCUUGCACCUCAGCUUGCAGAUGGCCUAUUGUAGGACCUCACCUUGUGAUCAUGUGAGUCAAUACUCCGUAAUAAACUCCCCUUCAUCUAUACAUCUAUCCUGUUAGCACUGUCCCUUUAGAGAACC
Molecule: long non-coding RNA, 883 nt
Filed under: Homo sapiens (human)
Lineage: Eukaryota; Metazoa; Chordata; Mammalia; Primates; Hominidae
Description: HSALNT0164092
Source: RNAcentral